AUUGAACGCUGGCGGCAGGCCUAACACAUGCAAGUCGAGCGGAUGAACGGGGUUUGCUCUUGGAUUCAGCGGCGGACGGGUGAGUAAUGCCUAGGAAUCUGCCUGGUAGUGGGGGAUAACGUCCGGAAACGGGCGCUAAUACCGCAUACGUCCUGAGGGAGGAAGUGGGGGAUCUUCGGACCUCACGCUAUCAGAUGAGCCUAGGUCGGAUUAGCUAGUUGGUGGGGUAAAGGCCUACCAAGGCGACGAUCCGUAGCUGGUCUGAGAGGAUGAUCAGCCACACUGGAACUGAGACACGGUCCAGACUCCUACGGGAGGCAGCAGUGGGGAAUUUUGGACAAUGGGCGAAAGCCUGAUCCAGCCAUGCCGCGUGUGUGAAGAAGGUCUUCGGGUUGUAAAGCACUUUUAGCGGGGAGGAAAAGGAGUGAGUUAAUACCUCGGUGUGUUGACGGUACCAGCAGAAUAAGCACCGGCUAACUACGUG
RNAcentral lists this ribosomal RNA (484 nucleotides) under uncultured bacterium. RNAcentral describes it as "partial 16S ribosomal RNA". It matches the Rfam family "Bacterial small subunit ribosomal RNA", at positions 30 to 507 of the family's 1533-position model. The record is from RNAcentral.